GUUUGAGGCAUUUUCCCAUCACAUGGCUUGUGUAUGCACAAAUCACACCAAGGCCUACGAGCAAGAAAAUUGAAGACCAUCCUCCAUUCUCCAGAGCAUAAGGAGUGGAUAGUUGUCCAAGACCUGAAAUUGAAAAGUUUGCUCUGUUGGCUUGCCAUUAUAUGAUGAAACUGGCAGAGAACGUGCGGAUGAUAUUCACUCCAAAUGCACAGAUUACUGCUAGACAGUUGCGCUUUCAGAUGUCUGCGCACUUCAUGGUCUGCACCUGAGUGCUAGGUGUAUGUACUUAUAAUAUUGCAUGGUGUGAGUAUAUUUGCAUACCUGCACGUGAAAGUUGGCAUGGCUGCUAAUUGUGGGAGGGCUGCUUGGAAGAUUCAGGCAUCUUAGUCUGGUAUUGACAGAUCUUGAGGUCUUCAAAUUGAUAGUAAAUUUGCCAAAUUGGAUAUCAGAUGGUGGGAUUCCAUUUGAAAAAAGAUUUGUAGAAAAAUUGGUUCAUUUUUAAAUGUUUCUUUUACAUUUUUCAAUUUUCCUUUCUACUGUUGCUUC
Molecule: long non-coding RNA, 546 nt
Organism: Nymphaea colorata (pocket water lily)
Lineage: Eukaryota; Viridiplantae; Streptophyta; Magnoliopsida; Nymphaeales; Nymphaeaceae
Exons: 2
Source: RefSeq, a predicted model, not a curated record